UAGAGGGAUGCAGAGAGAUUUUAAUACUUACAUGUCAUUUAAUUUUGAUAAAGCUUUCAAGUAAUAUUACCAAGCACAAUACUGUUUUGGAAGUUGUGUGUGUGUGUGUGUGUGUGUGUGUGUCUCUCGAUCUAUCUAA
Pelobates cultripes (western spadefoot toad) is the source of this 139-nucleotide non-coding RNA. Lineage: Eukaryota; Metazoa; Chordata; Amphibia; Anura; Pelobatidae. The record is from the annotation of a GenBank genome assembly.